UGCCUCUCUCUUGACCGGACAGUAGAUUAUACGUUCCACCUAGCCCUAGGUGGGAAAACACAACAAUUAGAAACAGACAUGGCAAAAUCAGCAGCUAUCUUGCUGGUGUUAAUUUCCUUUUUGUACAUCCUAUCUCAAUCAGCCCAUGUGGUUGCAGGAUGGACAGACGAAAGGCUACCAAAGGCUGAAGUUACAGAGGACUCUAGGGAACUGCUGGGUGUCCUUCAUAACGUCCUAGAGAAACUCCAAAACAGAAGAAUGGCUGUGUGGGAAAGAAGACAAAGCCACCUUCCUAGUGUAAGCAAGCUAUUUCAGACACCACAGGUGAAUAGUUGAAUAGGUGAUCGAUUUCCCAAAUGUGUGGGUCAGACCCUCUGGUGGGUUGUGGGUGGCACCUUUUGGAUUGCGGGUCAAGACUACAUUCUUGCUAGAGCAUGUUCUGGGGGAAAUAAAUAAACACUCUAAAAUCUUA
This is a long non-coding RNA of Salvelinus fontinalis (brook trout), 472 nucleotides long. RefSeq lists it as uncharacterized. The record is from RefSeq and is a predicted model, not a curated record. NCBI's taxonomy places the organism in Eukaryota, Metazoa, Chordata, Actinopteri, Salmoniformes, Salmonidae. The transcript has 2 exons.